Molecule: transfer RNA, 72 nt
Filed under: Spathaspora arborariae UFMG-19.1A
Lineage: Eukaryota; Fungi; Ascomycota; Pichiomycetes; Serinales; Debaryomycetaceae
Description: tRNA-Lys (TTT) (tRNA-Lys-TTT-2-1)
Rfam family: tRNA
About the family: Transfer RNA (tRNA) molecules are approximately 80 nucleotides in length. Their secondary structure includes four short double-helical elements and three loops (D, anti-codon, and T loops). Further hydrogen bonds mediate the characteristic L-shaped molecular structure. tRNAs have two regions of fundamental functional importance: the anti-codon, which is responsible for specific mRNA codon recognition, and the 3' end, to which the tRNAs corresponding amino acid is attached (by aminoacyl-tRNA synthetases). tRNAs cope with the degeneracy of the genetic code in two manners: having more than one tRNA (with a specific anti-codon) for a particular amino acid; and 'wobble' base-pairing, i.e. permitting non-standard base-pairing at the 3rd anti-codon position.
Source: RNAcentral
GAGUUUAUGGUCCAAUGGUAAGACAGUCGACUUUUAAUCGCCCUGAUAUUGGUUCAAUUCCAAUUAAACUCA